GCGGCGGUGGCGGAACUGGCAGACGCGUACGUUUGAGGGGCGUAUGGGCUAAUCCCGUGUGGGUUCAAGUCCCACCCGCCGCA
This 83-nucleotide transfer RNA is filed under the name Caldanaerobacter subterraneus subsp. tengcongensis MB4. Its description in RNAcentral is "Thermoanaerobacter tengcongensis MB4 tRNA". It matches the Rfam family "tRNA". Rfam says of the family: Transfer RNA (tRNA) molecules are approximately 80 nucleotides in length. The record is from Rfam by way of RNAcentral. RNAcentral also lists the same sequence under 1 other name. Lineage: Bacteria; Bacillati; Bacillota; Clostridia; Thermoanaerobacterales; Thermoanaerobacteraceae.